AUGAAGAUUAGUGGAUGGAAAGAAAAGUUGUUAUCGGCUGGUGGAAAGGAAAUUUUGCUUAAGUCUGUUGUUCAAGCUAUCCCAACAUAUGCAAUGUCUGUAUUCAAAAUUCCUAAAAAGAUUUGCAAAGGAAUCAUAAAUGCGAUGUCGCAAUUCUGGUGGGGUGACGAGGACAAUCAGAAAAGGAUGCACUGGAUGGCGUGGUGGAAGAUGUGUGUUCCAAAAGACCAAGGUGGAAUGGGUUUCCGUUAUAUACACUGUUUUAACUAG
RNAcentral lists this ribosomal RNA (270 nucleotides) under Triticum aestivum (bread wheat). RNAcentral describes it as "partial small subunit ribosomal RNA". Lineage: Eukaryota; Viridiplantae; Streptophyta; Magnoliopsida; Poales; Poaceae. The record is from RNAcentral.